This is a non-coding RNA of Chrysemys picta bellii (western painted turtle), 655 nucleotides long. NCBI's taxonomy places the organism in Eukaryota, Metazoa, Chordata, Testudines, Emydidae. The record is from RefSeq and is a predicted model, not a curated record.
AACACCCAAUAGAAGCUUCUCCACACUCUUCCUCUACUGUGCUUCGACCCUGGCACGAAGGGAAUAUUUGCCAGGAUGAAAGGGUACAUUGGCCUCCACCAUUUAAUCCUUGCUCUCUCUCUGUUGAAUAUGAGAAGAGUGCUGGGUUUUGAGCUGUUGGGAUGAUUGCUGUGAUGCAGACAUUCUUUUACGAGGAACUGCACUGAGAUCAACAACUGAUGUCAUGUAACCAGGAGAUGACGUGUCUCAUUUCCUCUCAGAAAGUGGGUGACAGACAAUUAUCUCCCUGUCUGGUCAAUGUGUAUUGUGUGCCAGGAAAAGCAACCAGCAGGGGGGCAUCCUGUGUAUGAAUAAGGGCAAUGGAUUGUUCCGAUGUAUCUCGGGGUGGAAACAGACACCCUGGAUCUUUCACCUGGGAGGCACGCUAACAGCAUGACUUGUCUCAUGAACAGAAGAUCACAGCCAACCCUGGCUGUGAAAUGUUGGAAGGACUUUGUGUGAUCAUUGUUCUAUUAGACAUGGAAGUAUGUAGUAAGUCUAGGUGCCAGAAUGCAUGUGAUUAAUGUAGCCAUUUGUUUCCAAUACAUCUACUUGCUAUCACUUGAAUCUCUGCACUCUAUUAAAUAAACUUACACUUGAUUUCACUAUAAACAGA